This is a long non-coding RNA of Austrofundulus limnaeus, 510 nucleotides long. RefSeq lists it as uncharacterized. The record is from RefSeq and is a predicted model, not a curated record. Lineage: Eukaryota; Metazoa; Chordata; Actinopteri; Cyprinodontiformes; Rivulidae. The transcript has 4 exons.
GUGAAGUGCACACAGAUAACUCCGCAGAACCAGGUGACGUUCGUAAUAAGCUGUCACUCUCGUGUUUUCAUCGGAGUUACUAGUUAACAGUAACAAAUUGUCCUUUUGGCCAUCUUUGACUCCAUGUUGGACUACAACCAGGGAUGUUGAGCUUUCAUCAGGAUUCAAGAUGCCCAUUUGUGAUGCUGAUGUACUUCAGAAGGCCUGACAACUAACUGCAUCGAGCAGACAGAAUUGGAGGACAACACCCAGGAACCAGGAAGGACGCCAGGUGAUCUGGAGACAAACACAGCUGUUGCCUUGGUUGCAGUGUCAGAUCCAGACAGCCAUUUUGAUGUGAGCCGUCUCACCGGGAUGCACCACGUGGUCUGAAACCAUCCCUGAGCGUCCUUGUUGACCCACAUGUUUACAUUUUGGACAGUACCUGUCUGAUCUUUUAACCAUCUUGAAAUGCAGUCGGUCUUAUUAUGCAUAUAUAUUUUUAAGAGCAGAUAAGUGUGAAAAUGUAAA